This 72-nucleotide transfer RNA is filed under the name Marmota monax (woodchuck). RNAcentral describes it as "tRNA.Thr". Lineage: Eukaryota; Metazoa; Chordata; Mammalia; Rodentia; Sciuridae. The record is from RNAcentral.
GGGUAGAGCUCAGUGGUAGAACGCUUGCCUAGUAUACACAGGACCUUGGGUUCCAUCCCCAGAAGCUGCCCA